Ictalurus punctatus (channel catfish) is the source of this 821-nucleotide long non-coding RNA. NCBI's taxonomy places the organism in Eukaryota, Metazoa, Chordata, Actinopteri, Siluriformes, Ictaluridae. The record is from Ensembl.
AUGAACACAUAAUUACACACGACUAGUUCAGAAUGAAUUGUUCUUCGCGUGAACAUCCAUUUCUGUUGUACUUUAAAAAAAAUAAAAAUAAAAAUUUAUAUUGACACUCUUGAUGUAAGUCGGUUGUCCCUGCUGUUGUAUAGGAGCGGAUCGCCUUUUUGGUUGGGCUUCUCAGGAAGUCCAUGGUGAUGAUCGCCUGCGUCGUUCUGCUAUACUUUGCCACCCGGUUCCGCAACGUGAACAGGGAAAGUCUGGAGAUACUGAGGGAGCUGAAAGAGACUCACACUAAUCUUCAGCAAACCUUGAGGAAAGCAGAACGUCUUUCAGGGGCUUUAAAUGGCUGUACGAAACCCAGACAGGAGCAGUGGGGUAGAAAGUGGGAUCGAGAAGAGAAGAGCAGCAUGGUCAUUCUGCAUCCUUCUGGCGCCAUAGAGGCCACCUUGCCGUCAAUUUCUUCCCUACAAAGGAGUAAGCAUUUGUAUAUUUUCAUGGCAUCUUUCCUUGAAGGGAAAAAAAAAAAGGCAAAAUCUUUGACACACAUCAGGUUGAUAUAUUAAUUAAAUAAGUGGAUUAUUUUUGUUAAUUGUUUGUAAGGUAAACCACACAGAACGGUAUGAAGAAGCAAGGCUGAGGCUGAUUUCUGUCCAGCCCAGACUGAGGUUUCAUGCAGCCUAUCAGUGACCGUUGUGUCAGCUGAUUAUACAGAGUGAAAUGUAUCGGGGGCUUAUGCAUUUAAUCCCGUUUCACUGACACAUCUGGAACACAUCAUCAGCAGUGAUUUGCGAAAGCACACACCUUGGAACUUCUGACUCCCUUUAUGU